GCCCUGGUGGUGCAAUGGUUAAGCACUCGGCUGCUAACCAAAAUGUUGGUGGUUCAAACCCACCCAGCAGCU
Loxodonta africana (African savanna elephant) is the source of this 72-nucleotide transfer RNA. It matches the Rfam family "tRNA". Rfam says of the family: Transfer RNA (tRNA) molecules are approximately 80 nucleotides in length. Their secondary structure includes four short double-helical elements and three loops (D, anti-codon, and T loops). Lineage: Eukaryota; Metazoa; Chordata; Mammalia; Proboscidea; Elephantidae. The record is from Rfam.